This is a transfer RNA of Monodelphis domestica (gray short-tailed opossum), 71 nucleotides long. It matches the Rfam family "tRNA". Rfam says of the family: Transfer RNA (tRNA) molecules are approximately 80 nucleotides in length. Their secondary structure includes four short double-helical elements and three loops (D, anti-codon, and T loops). The record is from Rfam. Lineage: Eukaryota; Metazoa; Chordata; Mammalia; Didelphimorphia; Didelphidae.
UAGAAUGUGGUGUAAAGGAAACACAUAGAAUUUUGAGUUCUUAGAUGUAGGUUCAAUUCCUAUUGUUCUAG